UACGUAGGGGGCUAGCGUUGUCCGGAAUCAUUGGGCGUAAAGAGCGUGUAGGCGGCCCGAUAAGUCCGCCGUGAAAGCCCAGGGCUCAACCCUGGGAUGCCGGUGGAUACUGUCGGGCUAGAAUCCGGAAGAGGCGAGUGGAAUUCCUGGUGUAGCGGUGAAAUGCGCAGAUAUCAGGAGGAACACCGAUGGCGAAGGCAGCUCGCUGGGACGGUACUGACGCUGAGACGCGAAAGCGUGGGGAGCAAACAGG
This 253-nucleotide ribosomal RNA is filed under the name uncultured bacterium. RNAcentral describes it as "partial 16S ribosomal RNA". It matches the Rfam family "Bacterial small subunit ribosomal RNA", at positions 524 to 776 of the family's 1533-position model. The record is from RNAcentral.